AUUUAUAUAGUACAAAAAGUAUAAAUGAUUUCCAAUCAUUAGAUUUAAAUAAAAAUUUAAUAUAAAUA
This is a non-coding RNA of Clunio marinus, 68 nucleotides long. Lineage: Eukaryota; Metazoa; Arthropoda; Insecta; Diptera; Chironomidae. The record is from the annotation of a GenBank genome assembly.